Molecule: long non-coding RNA, 330 nt
Filed under: Elaeis guineensis (African oil palm)
Lineage: Eukaryota; Viridiplantae; Streptophyta; Magnoliopsida; Arecales; Arecaceae
Description: long non-coding RNA (EGUI_LNC048446)
Source: RNAcentral
CACUCAAAAUCAAGAAUUGAAGACAAAAUAUUUUCAUUACAAAUUAGGACUAAAAGUGAAUAAAAUAUUAUCCAACUGAUUCUAUUUUCAUAUCAUAAAUUUUUACUAAAAGAUUUCUACCAAAAGUCAAAGUGGAAGUAUUUAGUGCCACAAAUUUGAUGAUAAAAAUUAGUAAUAAAAUAUAAUUUAAUGAUAAAAAAAUAUUUAUAACAACCCAGGAUCUCAUCCAAAAAGGUUAGCUAGAAAUAUAUAUUUGGGCUUAUUGGCCUUAUAUAAGUAUCCAAAAUCUUUUCAAUAGAUAACCAAUAUAAGAUAAACAUAUACCCUCGC